CUACGGAGGGUGCAAGCGUUACUGGGAAUCACUGGGCGUAAAGCGCGCGCAGGCGGUCUUUUAAGUUGGAUGAGAAAGCCUACGGCUCAACCGUAGAACUGCAUCCAAAACUAUUAGACUAGAGUGUGGGAGAGGAAGAUGGAAUUAGUUGUGUAGGGGUAAAAUCCGUAGAGAUAACUAGGAAUACCAAAAGCGAAGGCAAUCUUCUGGAACACUACUGACGCUGAGGCGCGAAAGCGUGGGGAGCAAACAGGAUUAGAAACCCGAGUAGUCC
Molecule: ribosomal RNA, 274 nt
Filed under: uncultured bacterium
Lineage: Bacteria
Description: partial 16S ribosomal RNA
Rfam family: Bacterial small subunit ribosomal RNA
Source: RNAcentral